GGGACACGUGGUAUCCUGUCUGAAUAUGGGGGGACCAUCCUCCAAGGCUAAAUACUCCUGACUGACCGAUAGUGAACCAGUACCGUGAGGGAAAGGCGAAAAGAACCCCGGCGAGGGGAGUGAAAAAGAACCUGAAACCGUGUACGUACAAGCAGUGGGAGCACGCUUAGGCGUGUGACUGCGUACCUUUUGUAUAAUGGGUCAGCGACUUAUAUUCUGUAGCAAGGUUAACCGAAUAGGGGAGCCGAAGGGAAACCGAGUCUUAACUGGGCGUUAAGUUGCAGGGUAUAGACCCGAAACCCGGUGAUCUAGCCAUGGGCAGGUUGAAGGUUGGGUAACACUAACUGGAGGACCGAACCGACUAAUGUUGAAAAAUUAGCGGAUGACUUGUGGCUGGGGGUGAAAGGCCAAUCAAACCGGGAGAUAGCUGGUUCUCCCCGAAAGCUAUUUAGGUAGCGCCUCGUGAAUUCAUCUCCGGGGGUAGAGCACUGUUUCGGCAAGGGGGUCAUCCCGACUUACCAACCCGAUGCAAACUGCGAAUACCGGAGAAUGUUAUCACGGGAGACACACGGCGGGUGCUAACGUCCGUCGUGAAGAGGGAAACAACCCAGACCGCCAGCUAAGGUCCCAAAGUCAUGGUUAAGUGGGAAACGAUGUGGGAAGGCCCAGACAGCCAGGAUGUUGGCUUAGAAGCAGCCAUCAUUUAAAGAAAGCGUAAUAGCUCACUGGUCGAGUCGGCCUGCGCGGAAGAUGUAACGGGGCUAAACCAUGCACCGAAGCUGCGGCAGCGACGCUUAUGCGUUGUUGGGUAGGGGAGCGUUCUGUAAGCCUGCGAAGGUGUGCUGUGAGGCAUGCUGGAGGUAUCAGAAGUGCGAAUGCUGACAUAAGUAACGAUAAAGCGGGUGAAAAGCCCGCUCGCCGGAAGACCAAGGGUUCCUGUCCAACGUUAAUCGGGGCAGGGUGAGUCGACCCCUAAGGCGAGGCCGAAAGGCGUAGUCGAUGGGAAACAGGUUAAUAUUCCUGUACUUGGUGUUACUGCGAAGGGGGGACGGAGAAGGCUAUGUUGGCCGGGCGACGGUUGUCCCGGUUUAAGCGUGUAGGCUGGUUUUCCAGGCAAAUCCGGAAAAUCAAGGCUGAGGCGUGAUGACGAGGCACUACGGUGCUGAAGCAACAAAUGCCCUGCUUCCAGGAAAAGCCUCUAAGCAUCAGGUAACAUCAAAUCGUACCCCAAACCGACACAGGUGGUCAGGUAGAGAAUACCAAGGCGCUUGAGAGAACUCGGGUGAAGGAACUAGGCAAAAUGGUGCCGUAACUUCGGGAGAAGGCACGCUGAUAUGUAGGUGAAGUCCCUUGCGGAUGGAGCUGAAAUCAGUCGAAGAUACCAGCUGGCUGCAACUGUUUAUUAAAAACACAGCACUGUGCAAACACGAAAGUGGACGUAUACGGUGUGACGCCUGCCCGGUGCCGGAAGGUUAAUUGAUGGGGUCAGCGCAAGCGAAGCUCUUGAUCGAAGCCCCGGUAAACGGCGGCCGUAACUAUAACGGUCCUAAGGUAGCGAAAUUCCUUGUCGGGUAAGUUCCGACCUGCACGAAUGGCGUAAUGAUGGCCAGGCUGUCUCCACCCGAGACUCAGUGAAAUUGAACUCGCUGUGAAGAUGCAGUGUACCCGCGGCAAGACGGAAAGACCCCGUGAACCUUUACUAUAGCUUGACACUGAACAUUGAGCCUUGAUGUGUAGGAUAGGUGGGAGGCUUUGAAGUGUGGACGCCAGUCUGCAUGGAGCCGACCUUGAAAUACCACCCUUUAAUGUUUGAUGUUCUAACGUGGACCCGUAAUCCGGGUUGCGGACAGUGUCUGGUGGGUAGUUUGACUGGGGCGGUCUCCUCCUAAAGAGUAACGGAGGAGCACGAAGGUUGGCUAAUCCUGGUCGGACAUCAGGAGGUUAGUGCAAUGGCAUAAGCCAGCUUGACUGCGAGCGUGACGGCGCGAGCAGGUGCGAAAGCAGGUCAUAGUGAUCCGGUGGUUCUGAAUGGAAGGGCCAUCGCUCAACGGAUAAAAGGUACUCCGGGGAUAACAGGCUGAUACCGCCCAAGAGUUCAUAUCGACGGCGGUGUUUGGCACCUCGAUGUCGGCUCAUCACAUCCUGGGGCUGAAGUAGGUCCCAAGGGUAUGGCUGUUCGCCAUUUAAAGUGGUACGCGAGCUGGGUUUAGAACGUCGUGAGACAGUUCGGUCCCUAUCUGCCGUGGGCGCUGGAGAACUGAGGGGGGCUGCUCCUAGUACGAGAGGACCGGAGUGGACGCAUCACUGGUGUUCGGGUUGUCAUGCCAAUGGCACUGCCCGGUAGCUAAAUGCGGAAGAGAUAAGUGCUGAAAGCAUCUAAGCACGAAACUUGCCCCGAGAUGAGUUCUCCCUGACUCCUUGAGAGUCCUGAAGGAACGUUGAAGACGACGACGUUGAUAGGCCGGGUGUGUAAGCGCAGCGAUGCGUUGAGCUAACCGGUACUAAUGAACCGUGAGGCUUAACCUUACAAC
RNAcentral lists this ribosomal RNA (2531 nucleotides) under Escherichia coli. Its description in RNAcentral is "partial 23S ribosomal RNA". It matches the Rfam family "Bacterial large subunit ribosomal RNA", at positions 419 to 2925 of the family's 2925-position model. The record is from RNAcentral. Lineage: Bacteria; Pseudomonadati; Pseudomonadota; Gammaproteobacteria; Enterobacterales; Enterobacteriaceae.